GCCGGGCGUGGUGGUGUGCGCCUGUAGUCCCAGCUACUUGGGAGGCUGAGGCAGGAGAAUCACUUGAACCAGGGAGGUGGAGGUUGCAGUGAGCUGAGAUUGUGCCACUGCAUUCCAGCCUGGGCAACAGAGUGAGACCCUGUCUUAA
Molecule: small RNA, 148 nt
Filed under: Cercocebus atys (sooty mangabey)
Lineage: Eukaryota; Metazoa; Chordata; Mammalia; Primates; Cercopithecidae
Also listed under: 2 other names
Description: Metazoan signal recognition particle RNA
Source: Rfam by way of RNAcentral